GAUGAAGAACGUAGCGAAAUGCGAUAAGUAAUGUGAAUUGCAGAAUUCAGUGAAUCAUCGAAUCUUUGAACGCACAUUGCGCCCGCCAGUAUUCUGGCGGGCAUGCCUGUCUGAGCGUCAUUUCAACCCUCAUGCCCCUAGGGCGUGGUGUUGGGGAUCGGCCAAAGCCCGCGAGGGACGGCCGGCCCCUAAAUCUAGUGGCGGACCCGUCGUGGCCUCCUCUGCGAAGUAGUGAUAUUCCGCAUCGGAGAGCGAUGAGCCCCUGCCGUUAAACCCCCAACUUUCCAAGGUUGACCUCAGAUCAGGUAAGAAUACCCGCUGAACUUAAGCAUAUCAAUAAGCGGAGGA
Molecule: unclassified non-coding RNA, 348 nt
Filed under: soil metagenome
Description: partial contains 5.8S ribosomal RNA, internal transcribed spacer 2, and large subunit ribosomal RNA
Rfam family: 5.8S ribosomal RNA (bases 1-120)
Source: RNAcentral